Lycium ferocissimum is the source of this 1988-nucleotide long non-coding RNA. RefSeq lists it as uncharacterized. The record is from RefSeq and is a predicted model, not a curated record. NCBI's taxonomy places the organism in Eukaryota, Viridiplantae, Streptophyta, Magnoliopsida, Solanales, Solanaceae. The transcript has 5 exons.
CGUUAUUUUUUCCUUCAAAUUUCUCAACUUCAAUUUCAAGUUGUCCCUGCUUUAAUUUGUACUACUCUGAGGAGUUUUUCUCUGUUCUGGCCUUGAUUUAAUGCACUGGAUUGUAGCUAGUGGUUUUCUGCAGUUGAGUAUAACUCAACUCUUUUAGCACAGGCAUGUCCAAAAUCAUUUAACAGAUGAAUCAAAUGGGGAAAUAAAAUGCCUAAAUUAACUUAUUUUUCCCUUGCUUUCCUCUUUCUGCCGUUAGCAUUAUCUUGAAGCUUGAAUUUUUGUUCAUUCUUGAUGUAUUCCUUUCACCUGCAGGGUAAUUUUCCAGUUUUGGGGAUAAGCAAGGCGUAGUAACUUGUACCUAGAGCAAAAACAUUACAACUUCAGAUAGGUUUAUGGACAGUUAGAUGGGAUUGAAGUGCUUCUUCGGAGAAUUUACUCUGAUAGACGAUCUGCAAUUUACAUCCUGGUGGUGUUAAAGUGUCUUCAGUGAUCAGAAUUGUUUUUGAUCUGGCGUUUUCCUCGAGUCCUACAAUAGAGCUCUCAUCAGGAAUCUAAGAGGUUUUUGGAAGUGAAAGUUGUUCGAGAUAGGAAGAAAAGUACAUUGCCUCGACUGUAAGAGGUAAUUUAGGCACUUUUUUGUUCUAAUUCUAUGCUACGUUAUAGUGAUAAAUGAUUGUUCUCUAUAUUUCAUGUUAUACGGUAUAGAUGUGUGUACUUUAGCAAUUAGUUAAAUGUUAAGAUUAUCAAAUUUUGAUUUUCAUAAAUAAACUCCCUGAAAUGCUUGUGAAACACGUGCCUAACAAUAAAAGCAAGAGAUUGAACUACAAGAGUAGACAUUACACAUUUUCUUAUCUUACUGUUUGAGAUUGAUAUAUUAAAGGAUAACUUAUAGAUGAAAACAAUGUAAAUGAUUGAACUAAUUGAAUUUUAUCAAUAGUGGGAGUUGUAUGAUGGUUGUCUAAAAAAAGCAAGAAGAAAGAUUGUUUGGAUAUCUUGGGAAGUUAAAAAGUGUAACAAAUUUUUCUUCUAUGUGAACAUUUUUCUUUUAUGCUUGGUUAGGAACAAGUUCAUGAGGAUUGAAUAUUUGUGAUCAUGUCCAUAUCCUUAUUGCUUGGACUUUAAAUAUUCUACGUGAAAACAUAUAAAGUUACGUCCAGGGGAAAUACUUUAGUGGUGUUAGUACGGGCUGGUAAUGAAUGAAGUAUAAAUCCAUUGCGCUCCACAUGUAACAUGUCAAUCAUGUUAUAACGUAAAUAUCAAACUACAUUCAACUUCCUAUUAAGUCUUCUCAUUUUUAAUUUAAUUGUUUGCAAGAGAAUUAUUUGAAAGGAGAUGAAGAAAUUUAAAUCGUAACCAGAUUAUUGUUGCAGCAAGUGAUUGAGUCAAAAGGAAAAUACAAGCUCCGUGUAAUAUUCCUCCUUUUUAUCUUUCAGGUUCUAAUACCUUUCUCUAGGAGUCUAUCUCAUGGAGGAUGAGAUUAUUUGCAUCUCUUGAUGGCUGGUCAAGUAAUAAUAAUGUUCUGAAGAUGCCCGAUAAUUGGCUACUCUUUGGUCUAGAACCUUUCUGGUAGUGUUACCAUAAACUUACUCUCUUUAAGAAGAGAUGUGAAAGCUUCUUUUGGUUUGACAUUUCUAUGUUACAGUAUUUGAGACCGAGUGAAAAUCUAAAAGAAAAAGAAAGGGGGUACAUAGUUAGCUUGGUUAAGGCGCCUCUUAAUGCUCGAACAAUAUUCUGGUGAAUGCAUUAUUGUAGACACAAAAAAUGAUUUAUUUAUUGACAAAAAGUUUAGAGAAUGCUAGUAUGCAGUUGGACAACGAAUGUUGGAACUCCCCUGCAUGGAAAAAGCUAUGAAAAAUUCUUUUGCAAUUUAUUAUCUGUACUAUUUUACUUUUAACUUAAGUAUAAUUGGUAAAUAUAAAAUCUGUUUUGAGCCUUGCACUUAUAUUAUAUGAAUCAAAAUGCUAAUCAAAUCUUACCUUUGAUGUCAA